CCCUUAGAUGUCCGGGGCCGCACGCGCGCUACACUGAAGGAAUCAGCGUGGCUUUCUCCCUGACCCGAAAGGGUUGGGAAACCCGUUGAAUCUCCUUCGUGAUAGGGAUUGGGGCUUGAAAUUGUUCCCCAUGAACGAGGAAUUCCCAGUAAGCGCGAGUCAUAAGCUCGCGUUGAUUACGUCCCUGCCCUUUGUACACACCGCCCGUCGCUACUACCGAUUGAGUGAUCCGGUGAGCUAUUCGGACUUUCGCAUUGUCGAUUUUCGGCUUUACGAGGGAAAGUCUCGCGAACCUUAUCAUCUAGAGGAAGGAGAAGUCGUAACA
Molecule: ribosomal RNA, 325 nt
Filed under: uncultured eukaryote
Lineage: Eukaryota
Description: partial 18S ribosomal RNA
Rfam family: Eukaryotic small subunit ribosomal RNA
Source: RNAcentral